This is a non-coding RNA of Sus scrofa (pig), 2555 nucleotides long. The record is from RefSeq and is a predicted model, not a curated record. Lineage: Eukaryota; Metazoa; Chordata; Mammalia; Artiodactyla; Suidae.
CCUAUAAAAGAUACAAACCUAGAAUAUUAAAUUUCAGCAUUCUUUACCUAUUUCCCACUAUAAGUUUUGCUAUAUUUAACUAAUACUAAUCAAUUCUCUAUAACUCACUUUUGAAACCUACUAGUCAGUCUUUUCUAAUAUUUAAAGAAAUGAGUAGGUAAAUCUUCUAAUUUCUUAUUACAGAAAAUUGACAAAAAAUAUGCCCAAUAAAUUUUCUUCAUUUCAUGAGCUAAAUCAAUUUUUCUUAAGAAGUAAAAUAAUCAUAACAUAGAAAAACAUCUCUGUACCUAGAAGUAUAAAAUUCUGCAUGCUUGAUUAAACUGAAGAAACUUUUACCUAUAGUUAGACAAAAGCUGGCUUAAUGUGUAUACUGAAACUAAUAUUCCUUGAAACUGCUUGCUUCAAGAGAUAUCAUUUCAGGAAAAGUGUCUUUCUUGUAUACACACACGAAGAAUCAGCAUUGCUGAUGAACUAUAUGUCAGGAAAAUAAACAUAUUAAACAUGUAUAACAAUAUAUUUCUAGAUUUACACAUACUUUCAAUUGAAGUUUACACAGUAUUUAUAUAAACUAAAAUGUCAUCCUGAAAGAGAAAAAAAAAAAACAUGUAAACACAUACCCUCUUUUACAUGCCUUCCAAAAAUGCACAAGAGGUAAGCAUUUAGUAACUAUGACAGAAGAAAGGGGGGAGGAGAGCUCCCAACUACAUCCAAACCAAAAAAAUAAAGAAAACAGGUAAAAUACAGUGAAAUCAUAAUACUUUUUAAAAUUGUGAUUUUUCCCUUUAUUGUAUUACUGUUUAGUAAAUAGUGUAAUUAAUAUUAUAAAGUUUUAUAUAGCAUCCAUCAUGCAUAACUUCCCUGUAUUUCUACUUUUCAUACAGUCAUUGAUACUCACUUUGACACACACAUGCACACAGGUAGACACAAAACAGAUUUUUAUAUACCCACAAAGUGGAACAGCUGGAUCAAAGAUGUAACAGAUAAGGUGUACAAAUUUCUCUCUCUGAGCGAUUUCAAAUUAUUUUCCUAUUUUUGACUUGUCAUUUAAUUUACUUUUAUUUGCCGUUUUUUGCUAAAAUGUUUUGCAUGUCUUAAAGUCUCCUUAGAUUCAAAUCUACUUGGAAAUGGGCUAGUGCCAAAGAAGCAAUCUAACACCAUCUAUGUGGUUCAAUAGCCAUUUAUCAAUUGAUCAUUAUCUCUAUCUGGUUUUAUUAACUCUUUUCUAGCUAGAGGGAGACCUAAACCAAUCUUCUUUCAAAACACACACACACACACACACACCCACACCCACACACACAAACACCCUCCACUAACUCAAGAAAACCCUGAAGGUGAUACAUAGUUUUUAAAGUGCAGCACAAGUCAUUAGGUACUAAGGUCAGUGAAAACACACCCUGUGUUCCAACCAUGAUGAGAGCCACCCAGGCAGGGCUAUGUCUCAAAAAUACACUUCUCAAAGCUCUCGGCAACACCAAGGAGUAUCUCUGGGAGGAAAUGAACUUUUUAACUUGCAAGAAUGGGAAAUUGCACAUAAAGAGUUGCUUAUUGGGUUUAUGUUGAUUGCAUUUAAAUCCCAGCUUACUGUAUCAGCAGUAAUCAGGGUCCCUCUACAGGAUAUGUCAAAAUACACCUUAUUCAAAUGCAUUUAUCUUAUCUAGAACUGUGUGGUACAACUGUUCGCUAGCUAAAUGCUAAAAAGCCCUAGCACUCUACAUUACCUUUUGCAGAUGUAUUUCUAAACUUGCGGUAGUCUCUACCCUGACAAAAUGUUUUAUUCCUUUCCUUACCAAGUUUAAAAAUCUAAUUAACUCCAAGUAUUUAAUUCUCAUGAACUCUUACAAACAAAACAGAUUUUUUAAAAAAAGAAAGCAGGUGCAGUGGUGGUGGGGGGGGUUGUUUUGUUUUUAAUGAGUGGAACAAUAUCCAUUUCCUAACAAUCUCCAUCUACUUAAAAUCCCAGUGUAUUUGUCAGUAAUACUUUCGUACUGUGCGGAGGAUAGUAUCAUACGAACUCUUGCUUUGUGUGGGUUUGGUGGAGGCUUUUGAAGCAAGACGUGUCUGGGAGGGAGGCACCAGGGAACUUCCCUCCCUCGCUUGAGCACAGUCCAAGAUGAAAGUUUCUGGGUUGUUUCCCUUCGCUUCCUCUCCCCCUCUCUCCCCCUCAGAGCCGCAGAGCCAGCAAUUGUGCAAGAGGAGCCAGGCGCGCGCGGGGCGCGUAGGUAUCACGGAGCGCAUGGUACGAGGCCGGCUCUGCUGAUUAAUGAGCGGUCGCCGGCGGCCUCGCGCGGACACGUCGGCUCUCCCUGCAGAGCCAGCGGCGGCGCAGCCGGCCCGAAGACCGCUCUGGGGAGGAUGCCGAGGCUGCGCCCGAGCGAGCCCUUAGGGAAACUGUGAAGUAACCCUGCACGUUCCAGUAACAGUUAUGACAAAACAGAGCCCAACUGCGAAGUGAUCAAAAUGUCAAAAAUCUUUAAAACGGAAAAUACCAGAGACAAAAGUACACAUAACAAUUCAAGAUUUCCUUUAAAGAAAAAAAAAAGAAAGAAAGAAAGUAA